This 187-nucleotide unclassified non-coding RNA is filed under the name Badhamia polycephala. Its description in RNAcentral is "Physarum polycephalum partial ribonuclease P RNA subunit". The record is from RNAcentral. Lineage: Eukaryota; Evosea; Eumycetozoa; Physariida; Physaraceae.
GAGGAGCCGACUAUCCCUAGGUGGGAGACACACCCGCCAGGGUGGGUGCUGCAGGAACAGAAAUGGGCCCUGGGUGAGCUUGUACCGUGACCCCUUAGCAGGGCGAGGGUGCUCAGCCAAUAGGUUGGAACAUACUGUGGUGGCAACAUCCUGACAGUUCGAUACACGUGGCAGUCCUUGUGCUGUA